Molecule: transfer RNA, 77 nt
Filed under: Campylobacter sp.
Lineage: Bacteria; Pseudomonadati; Campylobacterota; Epsilonproteobacteria; Campylobacterales; Campylobacteraceae
Also listed under: 2 other names
Description: tRNA-Arg
Rfam family: tRNA
About the family: Transfer RNA (tRNA) molecules are approximately 80 nucleotides in length. Their secondary structure includes four short double-helical elements and three loops (D, anti-codon, and T loops). Further hydrogen bonds mediate the characteristic L-shaped molecular structure. tRNAs have two regions of fundamental functional importance: the anti-codon, which is responsible for specific mRNA codon recognition, and the 3' end, to which the tRNAs corresponding amino acid is attached (by aminoacyl-tRNA synthetases). tRNAs cope with the degeneracy of the genetic code in two manners: having more than one tRNA (with a specific anti-codon) for a particular amino acid; and 'wobble' base-pairing, i.e. permitting non-standard base-pairing at the 3rd anti-codon position.
Source: RNAcentral
GCGCUCAUAGCUCAGCUGGAUAGAGCAACGCCCUUCUAAGGCGUAGGCCAGAGGUUCGAAUCCUCUUGGGCGUACCA